GACGAACGCUGGCGGCGGGCUUAACACAUGCAAGUCGAACGGAAAGGCCCUGCUUUGGUGGGGAGCUUGAGUUGCGAACGGGUGAGUAACACGUGAGUAACCUGCCCUUGCCUUUGGGAUAACUUCAUGAAACUGAGGCGAAUACCGGAUAGGAGCUCCUGCUGCAUGGUGGGGGUUGGAAAGUUUCGGCGGUUGGGGAUGGAAUCGCGGCUUAUCAGCUUGUUGGUUGGGUAGUGGCUUACCAAGGCUUUGAGGGGUAGACGGCCUGAGAGGGUGACCGGCCACGCUGGGAUUGGAAUACGACCCGGACUGGUACGGGACGGAGCGGUGGGGAAUAUUACACUGUGGACGGACGCCAGGUGCCACAGAGCCGCGAGAGGGAUGAAGGCAAUCCCGUUGCAUGGCGCAUUCGCCUGAGACGAAACGAGAGUGACGGUAAUGGGUAAAUAAGCACCGGCUAACUACGUG
This 468-nucleotide ribosomal RNA is filed under the name uncultured bacterium. Its description in RNAcentral is "partial 16S ribosomal RNA". It matches the Rfam family "Bacterial small subunit ribosomal RNA", at positions 28 to 507 of the family's 1533-position model. The record is from RNAcentral.